CAAGUUAGAGAGAGAAAUAAGAUAGAGAUAGAACUAGAGAAAGAUGGGUGGCCGCGGUGGCGUUUAGCGGCAAUUCGCGGUGGCCGGUGGUGGCCGGUGGUGGCCGGAGGUGGUCGGAGUUGUGGGUUUCAACCUGGAACCAAUUAGGGAUGCUACGAACGUAAUGGAUCAUGUCAAGGUGGGUGGAUGCAUGGAAGGCUAACAGAAUGGAUGCGAGGAAGCAAGUACGAAACAGACGCUUAAGGUUACACGGACAACAUUAUCAUCAUGAAGAACAAGCGGAUAAAGAUCGAGAUAAAGAGCAUGGAUUGUACGGGAGGGUAGUCACAUAGAUUGUAUUUCCAUGUUAUUCUUGAUACGGUAAUUUAGAAUGAAUAAUGUUUUUCUAUAAAAAGAGUCGUUUUAAAUGCUU
Long non-coding RNA from Helianthus annuus (common sunflower), 412 nucleotides. RefSeq lists it as uncharacterized. The transcript is spliced from 3 exons. The record is from RefSeq and is a predicted model, not a curated record. Lineage: Eukaryota; Viridiplantae; Streptophyta; Magnoliopsida; Asterales; Asteraceae.